GACGAACGUUGGCGGCGUGCUUAAUACAUGCAAGUCAACUGAAGCAGUGGUAGCAAUAUCGCUGUGGAGGUGGCGCACGGGUGAGUAACACGUAGGUAAUCUGCCUUCAGGUCUGGCAUAACUCCGGGAAACCGGGGCUAAUAGCAGAUGAUGCAGCGGCUCGACAUCGAGACAGUUGUUAAAGCUAUGGCGCCUGAAGAUGAGCCUGCGUCUGAUUAGCUAGUUGGCGGGGUAACGGCCCACCAAGGCAACGAUCAGUAGCUGGUCUGAGAGGAUGAUCAGCCUCACUGGAACUGAGACACGGUCCAGACUCCUACGGGAGGCAGCAGUAAGGAAUAUUGCUCAAUGGGAGAAAUCCUGAAGCAGCAACGCCGCGUGAGGGACGAAGGGCUUUUGCUUGUAAACCUCUGUAGUGAGAGAAAAAAAUCCCAAUCUUUGGGACAUGAUGGUAUCUCAAAAGUAAGCCCCGGCUAACUACGUG
This 481-nucleotide ribosomal RNA is filed under the name uncultured bacterium. Its description in RNAcentral is "partial 16S ribosomal RNA". It matches the Rfam family "Bacterial small subunit ribosomal RNA", at positions 28 to 507 of the family's 1533-position model. The record is from RNAcentral.